This 465-nucleotide ribosomal RNA is filed under the name uncultured bacterium. RNAcentral's name for it is "partial 16S ribosomal RNA". It matches the Rfam family "Bacterial small subunit ribosomal RNA", at positions 338 to 795 of the family's 1533-position model. The record is from RNAcentral.
CCUACGGGAGGCAGCAGUAGGGAAUCUUCCACAAUGGGCGAAAGCCUGAUGGAGCAACGCCGCGUGGGUGAAGAAGGUCUUCGGAUCGUAAAACCCUGUUGUUAGAGAAGAAAGUGCGUGAGAGUAACUGUUCACGUUUCGACGGUAUCUAACCAGAAAGCCACGGCUAACGACGGGCCCGCCGCCGCGGUAAUAAGUAGGUGGCAAGCGUUAUCCGGAUUGAUUGGGCGUAAAGUGAACGCAGGCGGUCUGUUAAGUCUGAUGUGAAAGCCUUCGGCUUAACCGGAGUAGUGCAUUGGAAACUGGGAGACUUGAGUGCAGAAGAGGAGAGUGGAACUCCAUGUGUAGCGGUGAAAUGCGUAGAUAUAUGGAAGAACACCAGUGGCGAAAGCGGCUCUCUGGUCUGUAACUGACGCUGAGGUUCGAAAGCGUGGGUAGCAAACAGGAUUAGAUACCCUUGUAGUC